Long non-coding RNA from Brassica napus (rape), 5202 nucleotides. RefSeq lists it as uncharacterized. NCBI's taxonomy places the organism in Eukaryota, Viridiplantae, Streptophyta, Magnoliopsida, Brassicales, Brassicaceae. The record is from RefSeq and is a predicted model, not a curated record. The transcript has 4 exons.
CAGGAGAACUAGAUUAUGGGGGAGAAAAUUUUAGUUUUCUCGUUUUUUAAUUAUAGGGGAGUGAGAGAUAAAACAAUGUUGUUGUUUUUUGUUUUGGUUUUAUGUUUAUUUCUAACUCUUGAACUUGCAUGUUUUGAACCUUCAUUUUAAUGCACGUAUUAUUCAGGAUAUAUGUGUUCGAAUGUGUGUGGUUGUUUGAGCGGAUCUGUGCAGGUACUUGAGAGGCAUCCAAAGCUAAAAGGGGGAGAUUGUAGGUGCAAAGAUCAGAUGGAUGUUCUGAUAUAGACGCAAGUACAACAGCGAAUGGAGCAGAGUCUGCAACAGAGAAGUGUACAUGCGGAUGAACAAGUCAAGAUGAAGAUUACGACUUGAAGAAUGGAUUGCAGACCAAGGCGAAGUUAAUGCGAAGACAUCUUGGGGAGCAAGCUUGAAGAGAUUCACCUUAGAGAAGGGAGAUCUCACGAUGGGAAGUUUCUUAAAGACUUUGGAGAGGUUUAAGGGAACUUACCAUAUUUAGGUAGAUAGUGAAUAUUGGGUAGAUAGGCGUGGAUAGUCGACUUGGCUGUAUUGUAUAUAUAGUCAUACUCGACCUGUGGAUUAGGGUCGUUGAGAGAAUUGUAUUCUUAGCAUAAGAGUGGAGUUUACUAAGCUUGUAAGCAAGUGGAGUUCACUAAGCUUGUAAGCGAGUGAAUAACACUAACGGCUAAGGGGUAGAUGUUCUAGAGAUCUUGUAUUCGAUCUUAGGAUGUAUGAGGUUAGGGGAGCAAGUCAAGAAGGGUCUUGAUCUUGUUUGAGUUUUGUUUAAAGAGAGACUUGUAAGUUCACUUUAAAAGAAUAUUAGUAAUAACACAUAUCUUUGUAGAGAUAUUCUCUGGUGUACUCUGUGUUUUACUUUGUGGGUUAGUUCUUGCAUUUACAUAAGAAGGAUAGUAUGAUGGUAAGAGAUUGCAUAGGUUAUUUGUGGAUUUAGAGUAGAGAAUUUGAGAGCCAUUUAAGUGAAGAAUGUCAUAUAUAUAGAGUUAAGGAGUGGCCGGACAUCAUUCGGUUACUGUCUUGAAUGCGGCCAUGAUUGAUCUGGAGAGGUAGAGGAAGUGGGUCCACCUUAGGGAUGAAAUGGUUGGAUGUUUGAAAAAUGACUUAAUGGGCCAGGACGAAGAGAGCCACGAGAAAGUCAACCACGUGAAAAUUGAGUAUGACUUAGGCUUGUUAAUCUAUUGGGCCUAAAUAAUUUGAUAUUUUGCUUCUGUAUUUAGUUUGGUGGUCCAAAAUGGUAAUGAACAAUAUGUUUGUAGUUAGGCCACAAAAAUUUACAUAGAAAAGAAAAAUAUUUGGGGAAGAGUAUUAUUGAAAAAAAAUUGAAUUCGAUGUCAAUUUAUCUAUAAUAAUAAAGUUGGCUUAUCUGCCCUCUCAGACGUCCACGUCAUCAGUCACAUAGGGGAGUUUUGCGACACGUCAGCGGUUUCCUCUUGCAUAGUCUCUUUCUUCAGUAAAUGAUUAAACGUCUUGGGCUUGUUGAAUUUAAAAUCAACAUUUGUUUUUUGUUGGGUUUCUUCGUUGUCGUCGCAAGCCGUAACUCUCCUCAUAUUGUCUUCCAUCAGUUCCUUCUACAGAGUGACUUAGCAUUGAUGGCAUUCAAUUAAUUCACCCACUUUCUCGUCAUCAAUACAUGUUUUUCUCCUCCCAUCAAUCGAAUUGGAUAUAUAUAUAUAAGCUCUGUUCUUUUGAUUAACGCAGCUUCUCGCGUCAGCGACUCCAAAUCUUACGGUGGCUGCUUCGUGUGAAACGACGCGGACAAUGGUGAUAACAUAAAAAGUGUUGCCGUAACAGUAAAAAAUAGUCGCCGCGUGAGUCGUAACUGAUUUCAUCGAAGUUGAGUAAGAGUCACUCAGUCGGCCUAGUGAAAAUAGCCCUAGAAAGAUCAAGGUGCGGAAUAGAAUUUUUAGCGAUCAAUUAUCAGCCCAAAAAUAACGCUGCGUCUCUUAUAAUUAACAUAGGCAAAGUGGUUUUUCAGCAAUCUUGCUUUUAAAGUAACGGAAAUACAGAGCGAAAAAUAGACGCAGACGCUAACACAGCGUUUAUCAAAAGAACAUGACUAUAGUCUCUAGGGCCUCAGGAGAAAUCUCAAACGUCUUACGAAUCAUAUUCUUGCUACAACCCUAGAAGUAGAAGUUCUUAGAAUGGUGAUUACUCAGCUCCACUUGAUUUGAAGGCUGGUCGUCUCGAGGACAGAGUUGUCACAAGUCUCCUUCGUUUUUGGGAGGCUAGGAAUGUUAAGAAAUCUGGGGAACUUAUGAGUGUGGAUUUCAUGUUCCUCAAUGAGAAGUGCCGUCGACAUUCCAAGAUUACGGGGAAGAAAGUCACAAUUGGUCUUAUCUCUGCAACCUCUCUGAACGAACACUACUCUUUCCAGCGAUGGCGUUAAAACCUAGGUUAGAUCUUGAGCUUGACGAGAUUCAUUUCUUGGACGCAAUUCCUAUAAUUUUGAGUUUGGUGAUUUUAAUUAUAAACAGCUCCAGUUAUGGGAGAAAUUGUGAAAGUGCAUCGAUUUAGUAUUGUUUCGUGUUGUUUAUAUGCCUUGCCUACACCGACAGUAAAGCACGUGAUUAAUACACACCUUCUGGUGGCAAUAUCUAUCUUUUAGAUUUCUCUUUUGUAGGCUGCAUUAACUCUGCAAACUCAUACUUGGUGUGAGGCGGGAAGCUCGCAAGGUGUGAAGCGUGAAAGUGAAACUGAAACUGAUGCCUGACUCAGAGAACCGGCUUCUCUUCGGUUUCUUUUUUUUCUAUCAUAUAUAUGGCUUAACAAUCUUAUGCUUUUAGAAAAGGUUUGGAGGAAAAUCCAUGGUUACAGGAGAAAUAUAGAGCCACCACUGCGACGACAUUUAAAACAAUUGGAGGCAAUGCAGGUUAAUAAAACAAGUUUCGGUUUUGAUUUGUCUCUCCACAUUAAUUUUUGGAAGCUACAAUUUUUCUACUUUGUCCCAGAGAAGAUUACUGGUUAGUAGUCCCGGUCACUGGUGAGGUAACAAUGGUGUAGAAAUCUCGAGAGUUCUUUUGUGGGUUCAAAAAGAAAACAUGGCAACGGUGGUGAAACACAUCUCGAUGAGCUUAGCAAUGGAGACACGGGAAAACAGCUAUGGUUUCAAGAGGAGAGUUCACGUUUCAAGAUAUUCACGGUGCAGAGGCAUUGCUGAAUGAAGAAGAUGAGGACGGCUAUAGUUGUGAUUGGGAACCUGUGCAUCAGAAGAUGCCAGUUGAGUUUGUGAAAUGGUGUUGCUUCAGUUGCACCAUGGCAAAUCCUGGUGAUAUGGUUCAUUGUUAUGUAUAUUUUGCUUACUUUUUCAUGUUUGAAUACUUUUGUUUCUGAUCUUAUCAUUACCAGUAUCUGCAAUUAUUUGUCUGAGACAUGGAUAUUUUGCAUCUCUGUUAUUUAAAAGACACUUGUCUCUCACCGAAGUCGAAGAGAAAUGCGGAGGUAAGAUUUUGCUUCUUUUCGAACAUGUCGUUAAGAUAUAUUGCUAUUUCGUUCCACAUUACCUAACUUCAAGUAACACUAAGCGUGCUCACGUCUCUUUUAUCUUGAUCUUAGGAAAUUCAUCUGCAACUAGCUCGACAGCUAUUGGUUUCGAGGAGAUAAUGUUGUUGCACUCAGAAGUAUGAUUUUAUUACUGUUACAGUUUCGUGAGAUAUCUGUUGACGUCAAUACAAUUUAUUUAUCUCCAAUGCUUUUCUUCGUGCAAUUAUUUCGCAAGAGCUCCAGAUGGUGAGCUGCUACUUAAUUUCCUUAGAGACAUAUCUACCUGCGAGUAGUUUGUUUAUUUCCUUACUUUUACAAACAAGUCGUUAACUGAUUUUUUUCUUUCAAUUUUAAGGUCUACACUUCAGAGCAUGUUAAUAUCACAAGCCAGCUUCUCUAUAGGUUUGAAUUUACCUGUAAUGUUUCAGGGUUCAGCAUGCAAAACAUGAUUUGUUUGUGUUAUUUUGUCUUUCACUGCUCAUAAUUUUCCUAUUGUUUGCCAGCUACUUCACUGCCGACACAUACUAAUAAGUAUUCAGCACCUGCUGCUAGAAUAGCAGCACGUCUGUGUGCUGAUCUAGCUAAAGAAAUGUUCUCAUGAUACAAUGUUAAUCAGCCGGGAACUUAGAAGCUCAUUAUGUUUAAGCUCAGUUUGGGUGACCCUGACAUGAACUGCUCACAAGUUCGACAAAGUAUGGCGGUGUUCAGAAAAUUUAAACUAUGACGGUCUCUGAGCUAAACGCUUAUGUCCUCCAUUGUUCCCCGCAUGUGCAUUCCGUUCCUGGUCCAUUCUGCUAAAUGUUAUCACAAGUAUUAUAUUAUUAACGUUUGUAGCCUCAAUGCACUACAGACUACUCUUCACCAGCAAAGUAGAGGCCAUUGAAACAACCAAUGGGUGGUGCUAUAUUUCUUGCUCCAAAUAUUCUAGGAAGCUUCAGCGUGGUUUUUCAUUGUUCACCUGUAACUCAUGCAAUGACUGUAAGGCUAUUUAUUCUUUCAUUUUGGCUUCUCGUGCCUAUUUCUUGGAAAGGUUCGGUAUUUGAUGAAAUAACAACUUAUGUUGAUUUACCUAAAUAUUUUUUCUUCUGAAUCUUAUCUAAAGACAACCAAAAUGGAAAUAACAAACUGAGCUUAACUUCUGCAACAACUACAAUAUACAUAUUACAUACAUGUAAUAUUACGUCUACAUCUUCAGUUGAUUAUUUUGUUCUGGUGCUUAUCUUUUUCCAGUUUACAGUUUAAGGGUUCGAUAGAUAAAUGUUUGGUUUAUCUCACUUGAUCAACUCCUCCGCAACUAAAGUCAUUGUCGAGUUCUACAAGUAAUAAACCCGUUUCUAAUAUUACAGAGGUAUAAGAGCAACUAUUACAUGUCACCGCUACAAUAUAGUUGACCGGUCCGGCACAUGCUACUAUUACAAGCUACCAAAAUUAUUUUCAUCAUUUGACGAAUAUUUGUCCACCUAUCUAUUACCAUAUUAAAUAAAACCAAUCCAACUUCUAUUGUUUAACAAUUAGGCAACCAGAUUCAACCAAAACAAACCCAACAAAAGUUAUGUAUCUUUUUUUUUUUUCCUCAACUGAUUAUAUUAUCAAACGAUGAAACAUACAUGACCAACGGACGAAGAUAUGCCGUGGUUAGCUAAUCCGACAGACAACACAAUGUCUCCGGAAACUAGAACACAUAAA